Molecule: long non-coding RNA, 827 nt
Filed under: Equus asinus (donkey)
Lineage: Eukaryota; Metazoa; Chordata; Mammalia; Perissodactyla; Equidae
Description: lncRNA (ENSEASG00005033914.1)
Source: RNAcentral
AAGGCAGAAUCUUAAGCGUCCACAAGUCCCUCUCACUCGAACAAAGCUGACUCUCCUUUCACCUGUAAAAAAAAAUGAGAUGGUGGAAUUUGAAUACAGAAGUAACUGAUCUGUUCUGAACUUAUAAUGAUGAAAUAAUGGAACAGGAAAGAGGAUUCUGACUCCGGUGUUGAGGAAUGAGGCCCAGGAUCUGAAUUUUAGAAAUAAUAUUUUUGCUUCAUUCAAACAACGGAGGACCUUGAAUAGUUUUGUCAGUUUGGUCACAAUGUUUGAAAGUCCUUGAAAGGAGAGAAAUGCUGUGAAAAACAGGCCCAGCAUUUGGAGGAUGUGACUCUUAACUCCGACUCUUGUCAGCCACGAGACUUUGAAGAAAGGAAAAAUGCAUCGGUCUAUUCUUAGUGUAACAAGAUGCUUUACCAGAAGGUUGCCCUGGAGGCAAGAAUGAGAGCUCCUACUCCUCCAUAUCCUCACCAGAAUUUGUAACUUUCAGUGUUCCAGAUUCGGGCAAUUCUAAUAGGAUCUCAUGGAAAAUACUAACAUUACCUUCAGCCAUGUCUCCUUACACCCCUCUUGGCUGUGACUGUUUCUCAGACCUUGCUUGCUUUUGAAGGCCUUGACAGUUUGAGCACUACGAGUCAGCACCAUGCAAGGGUUCUCAAAGUGUUGUCCUUGAACCAGCAGCAGCAGCUGCAUCACCUAGGGACAGAUCUCUCUGGUUCCAGUUUCUCUUCUGUUUUCAAAGUGAUAUGCUGAAGAGGAAGGCACAUUAUCGGGAAGUCCUGAAGAUGCACCAGUAGAAGCUGACUGAGAAGCAUUAUAUAAGACUG